UACGAAGGGGGCUAGCGUUGUUCGGAAUUACUGGGCGUAAAGCGCACGCAGGCGGAUUUAUAAGUCAGGGGUGAAAUCCCGGGGCUCAACCUCGGAAUUGCCCUUGAUACUGUCCAUCUUGAGUCCGGGAGAGGUGAGUGGAAUUCCUAGUGUAGAGGGGAAAUUCGUAGAUAUUAGGAAGAACACCAGUGGCGAAGGCGGCUCACUGGCCCGGUACUGACGCUCAUGUGCGAAAGCGUGGGGAGCAAACAGG
This 253-nucleotide ribosomal RNA is filed under the name uncultured bacterium. RNAcentral describes it as "partial 16S ribosomal RNA". It matches the Rfam family "Bacterial small subunit ribosomal RNA", at positions 524 to 776 of the family's 1533-position model. The record is from RNAcentral.